UACGUAGGGACCAAGCGUUGUUCGGAUUUACUGGGCGUAAAGGGCGCGUAGGCGGCUUGACAAGUCACUUGUGAAAUCUCUGAGCUUAACUCGGAACGGCCAAGUGAAACUGUCAUGCUAGAGUGCAGAAGGGGCAAUCGGAAUUCUUGGUGUAGCGGUGAAAUGCGUAGAUAUCAAGAGGAACACCUGAGGUGAAGGCGGGUUGCUGGGCUGACACUGACGCUGAGGCGCGAAAGCCAGGGGAGCAAACGGG
Molecule: ribosomal RNA, 253 nt
Filed under: uncultured bacterium
Lineage: Bacteria
Description: partial 16S ribosomal RNA
Rfam family: Bacterial small subunit ribosomal RNA
Source: RNAcentral